Small nuclear RNA from Suncus etruscus (white-toothed pygmy shrew), 164 nucleotides. RefSeq annotates it as U1 spliceosomal RNA. Lineage: Eukaryota; Metazoa; Chordata; Mammalia; Eulipotyphla; Soricidae. The transcript has a single exon. The record is from RefSeq and is a predicted model, not a curated record.
ACACUUACCUGGCAGGGAUGAUUCCAUGAUCAAGAAGGUUGUUUCCCCAGGACAAGGCUCACCUAUUGCACUCUGGGUGUGCUGACCCCUGCGAUUUCCCCAAAUGUGGGAAACUCGACUGCACAAUUUGUGGUAGUGGGGGACUGUGUUCACGCUCUCCCUUU